UUUGCCAGGAAGAAUGGUAAUGUGCACAUAAACUGAAUUGGGUCUCUAGGCGUGCCCUCUCUGAUGCCAUUUGGCUUUGAUUUUGGGCAUGGUUCUACAGCAAAAUA
This is a small nucleolar RNA of Rhododendron vialii, 107 nucleotides long. RefSeq annotates it as small nucleolar RNA snoR100. The record is from RefSeq and is a predicted model, not a curated record. Lineage: Eukaryota; Viridiplantae; Streptophyta; Magnoliopsida; Ericales; Ericaceae. The transcript has a single exon.